GUGGCGGACGGGUGAGUAACGCGUGGGUAACCUGCCUUGUACUGGGGGACAACAGUUGGAAACGACUGCUAAUACCGCAUAAGCGCACAGCUUCGCAUGAAGCAGUGUGAAAAACUCCGGUGGUACAAGAUGGACCCGCGUCUGAUUAGCUGGUUGGUGAGGUAACGGCCCACCAAGGCAACGAUCAGUAGCCGACCUGAGAGGGUGACCGGCCACAUUGGGACUGAGACACGGCCCAAACUCCUACGGGAGGCAGCAUG
This 260-nucleotide ribosomal RNA is filed under the name uncultured bacterium. RNAcentral describes it as "partial 16S ribosomal RNA". It matches the Rfam family "Bacterial small subunit ribosomal RNA", at positions 95 to 353 of the family's 1533-position model. The record is from RNAcentral.